RNAcentral lists this ribosomal RNA (855 nucleotides) under uncultured bacterium. RNAcentral's name for it is "bacterial SSU rRNA". It matches the Rfam family "Bacterial small subunit ribosomal RNA", at positions 58 to 869 of the family's 1533-position model. The record is from RNAcentral.
CAGUCGUACGCGUCUCCGUUAAUGAUUUUAGGUGCUUGCACUUGAAAGAUUUAACAUUGAGACGAGUGGCGAACUGGUGAGUAACACGUGGGUAACCUGCCCUUGAAGUAGGGGAUAACACUUGGAAACAGGUGCUAAUACCGUAUAACAACCAAAACCACCUGGUUUUGGUUUAAAAGACGGCUUCGGCUGUCACUUUAGGAUGGACCCGCGGCGUAUUAGCUUGUUGGUAAGGUAACGGCCUACCAAGGCGAUGAUACGUAGCCGACCUGAGAGGGUAAUCGGCCACAUUGGGACUGAGACACGGCCCAAACUCCUACGGGAGGCAGCAGUAGGGAAUCUUCCACAAUGGACGAAAGUCUGAUGGAGCAACGCCGCGUGAGUGAUGAAGGGUUUCGGCUCGUAAAACUCUGUUGUUGGAGAAGAACAGGUGUCAGAGUAACUGUUGACAUCUUGACGGUAUCCAACCAGAAAGCCACGGCUAACUACGUGCCAGCAGCCGCGGUAAUACGUAGGUGGCAAGCGUUGUCCGGAUUUAUUGGGCGUAAAGCGAGCGCAGGCGGUUUUUUAGGUCUGAUGUGAAAGCCUUCGGCUUAACCGGAGAAGUGCAUCGGAAACCGGGAGACUUGAGUGCAGAAGAGGACAGUGGAACUCCAUGUGUAGCGGUGAAAUGCGUAGAUAUAUGGAAGAACACCAGUGGCGAAGGCGGCUGUCUGGUCUGUAACUGACGCUGAGGCUCGAAAGCAUGGGUAGCGAACAGGAUUAGAUACCCUGGUAGUCCAUGCCGUAAACGAUGAGUGCUUAGUGUUGGAGGGUUUCCGCCCUUCAAUGCUGCAGCUAACGCAUUAAGCACUC